This 337-nucleotide unclassified non-coding RNA is filed under the name fungal sp. RNAcentral describes it as "partial internal transcribed spacer region". The stretch from base 1 to 46 matches the Rfam family "Eukaryotic small subunit ribosomal RNA", at positions 1786 to 1831 of the family's 1831-position model. Lineage: Eukaryota; Fungi. The record is from RNAcentral.
AAGUCGUAACAAGGUUUCCGUAGGUGAACCUGCGGAAGGAUCAUUAUCACGUAUCCACGUAUCAACCUUUGUGAACUGUACCCACCUUCUUACAAUUUUGUCGUUUUUUUGUUGUGUGUGAAGAUGUGUGUGUUUGUAAAGACACACACAGACACACAUACAUACAAUAAAACACAAAUGUUUGAAGUGUAAUUUUAUUAUUUAUUUUUAACCAAUUGAACCAUAACUCUUUUAAGAUUUAUGAACUGAUUCCAAGUGAGAGAUUGAAAAAUCUUUUUCACUUUUCGUUUUUACGAAAACACUAGAACAACUCUUAGCAACGGAUAUCUUGGCUCUC